Molecule: ribosomal RNA, 1496 nt
Filed under: Paenibacillus assamensis
Lineage: Bacteria; Bacillati; Bacillota; Bacilli; Caryophanales; Paenibacillaceae
Description: partial 16S ribosomal RNA
Rfam family: Bacterial small subunit ribosomal RNA
Source: RNAcentral
GGGGGUGCUAUACAUGCAAGUCGAGCGGACUUGUUGGAGUGCUUGCACUCCUGAUGGUUAUCGGCGGACAGGUGAGUAACACGUAGGCGACCUGCCUGUGAAACAGUGGUAACUACAGGAAACAGUGGCUAAUACCGGAUAGGCUUUCUUCUCUCCUGAGAGGAAAAAGAAAAACAGAGAAAUCUGUGUCUUUUACAUGGGGCUGCGGCGCAUUAUCUAUUUGGGGAGGUGACGGCUCACCCCGGCGACAAUACGUAUCCCACAUGUGAGGGGGAUCGGCCACACUGGGACUGAGACACGGCCCCCACACCCCCAGGAGGGGCCACUAUGGAAUCUUCUCGCAAUGUACAAAAGUCUGACAGAGAACCGCCCCGCGAGUGAUAAAAGCCUUCGCGUCGUCAAAGCUCUGUUGUCCAGGAAAAAAACCUGAGAGAGAAACUGCUCUCGCAAAGACAGUACUUGAGAAAAAAACCCCCGCUAACUACAUGCCACCACCCGCGCUAAUACAUAGGGGGCAAGCGUUGUCCGGAAUUAUUGGGCGUAAAGCGCGCGCACGCGCGGUAAUGUAAGUUGGGUGUGUAUAGGCGAGAGCUCAACCCUCGUCUCGCACACAAAACUGCAUCACUUGAGUGCAGCAGAGGAAGAGUGGAAAUCCACAUGUAUCGCGGUGAAAUGCGUAGAGAUAUGGAGAAACACCACUGGCGAGAGGCGACAUUCUGGGCUGUAACUGACACUCAGACGCGAAAGCGUGUGGAGAGCAAACAGGAUAAGAUACACUGUGUAGACCCACGCCGUAAACAAUAAAAGCGCUAGGUGUGAGGGGUUUCGAUACACUUGGUGCCGAAAUUAACACAUAAAGCAUUUUCCGCCUGGGGAGAACAGGUCGCAAGACAGUGAAACUCUAAAGAGAAUUGACGGGGACACGCGCACAAGCAGUAGAGUAUGUGGGUUUAAUUUCGAAGCAACGCGCAAAAACCUUACCACGUCUUUGACAUCUGAAUGACAGGGGUACAGAGAUGUGCCUUUCCUCUCGGGACAUUCAAAACAGGUGGUGGCAUAUGUGUUCUUCGUCAGCUCGUGUCGUGAGAAUAUUGUGGUUAUAAUCCCGCNNAACGAGCGCAACCCCNUAAUUUUAGAUGCCAGCAUUCCGAGUUGGGCACUCUAAAGUGACUGCCGGUGACAAACCGGAGGAAGGUGGGGAUGACGUCAAAUCAUCAUGCCCCUUAUGACCUGGGCUACACACGUACUACAAUGGUCGGUACAACGGGAAGCGAAGCCGCGAGGUGGAGCCAAUCCUAAAAAGCCGAUCUCAGUUCGGAUUGUAGGCUGCAACUCGCCUACAUGAAGUCGGAAUUGCUAGUAAUCGCGGAUCAGCAUGCCGCGGUGAAUACGUUCCCGGGUCUUGUACACACCGCCCGUCACACCACGAGAGUUUACAACACCCGAAGUCGGUGAGGUAACCGCAAGGAGCCAGCCGCCGAAGGUGGGUANNNNNG